GAUGAACGCUGGCGGCGUGCCUAAUACAUGCAAGUCGAGCGAACAGAUGAGGAUCUUGCUCCUCUGACGUUAGCGGCGGACGGGUGAGUAACACGUGGAUAACCUCCCUAUAAGACUGGGAUAACUUCGGGAAACCGGAGCUAAUACCGGAUAAUAUAUUGAACCGCAUGGUUCAAUAGUGAAAGACGGUUUUGCUGUCACUUAUAGAUGUAUCCGCGCCGCAUUAGCUAGUUGGUAAGGUAACGGCUUACCACGGCAACGAUGCGUAGCCGACCUGAGAGGGUGAUAGGCGACACUGGAACUGAGACACGGGCCAGACUCCUACGGGAGGCAGCAGUAGGGAAUCUUCCGCAAUGGGCGAAAGCCUGACGGAGCAACGCCGCGUGAGUGAUGAAGGUCUUCGGAUCGUAAGACACUGGUAUUAGGGAAGAACAAAUGUGUAAGUAACUAUGCACGUCUUGACGGUACCUAAUCAGAAAGCCACGGCUAACUACGUG
RNAcentral lists this ribosomal RNA (497 nucleotides) under uncultured bacterium. RNAcentral's name for it is "partial 16S ribosomal RNA". It matches the Rfam family "Bacterial small subunit ribosomal RNA", at positions 28 to 507 of the family's 1533-position model. The record is from RNAcentral.